Molecule: ribosomal RNA, 448 nt
Filed under: uncultured bacterium
Lineage: Bacteria
Description: bacterial SSU rRNA
Rfam family: Bacterial small subunit ribosomal RNA
Source: RNAcentral
ACUCCUACGGGAGGCAGCAGUGGGGAAUAUUGCACAAUGGGCGCAAGCCUGAUGCAGCCAUGCCGCGUGAGUGAUGAAGGCCUUAGGGUCGUAAAGCUCUUUCGCCUGUGAAGAUAAUGACGGUAGCAGGUAAAGAAACCCCGGCUAACUCCGUGCCAGCAGCCGCGGUAAUACGGAGGGGGUUAGCGUUGUUCGGAAUUACUGGGCGUAAAGCGCACGUAGGCGGAUCGGAAAGUUGGGGGUGAAAUCCCGGGGCUCAACCCCGGAACGGCCUCCAAAACUAUCGGUCUAGAGUUCGAGAGAGGUGAGUGGAAUUCCGAGUGUAGAGGUGAAAUUCGUAGAUAUUCGGAGGAACACCAGUGGCGAAGGCGGCUCACUGGCUCGAUACUGACGCUGAGGUGCGAAAGUGUGGGGAGCAAACAGGAUUAGAUACCCUGGUAGACUGUCA